AGCGAACGCUGGCGGCAGGCUUAACACAUGCAAGUCGAACGCCCCGCAAGGGGCGUGGCAGACGGGUGAGUAAAACGUGGGAACGUACCCUUUGGUUCGGAAUAACUUGGGGAAACUCCAGCUAAUACCGGAUAAGCCCUUACGGGGAAAGGUUUACUGCCGAAGGAUCGGCCCGCGUCUGAUUAGCUAGUUGGUGAGGUAAUGGCUCACCAAGGCGACGAUCAGUAGCUGGUCUGAGAGGAUGAUCAGCCACACUGGGACUGAGACACGGCCCAGACUCCUACGGGAGGCAGCAGUGGGGAAUAUUGGACAAUGGGGGCAACCCUGAUCCAGCCAUGCCGCGUGAGUGAUGAAGGCCUUAGGGUUGUAAAGCUCUUUUACCCGGGACGAUAAUGACUGUACCGGGAGAAUAAACCCCGGCUAACUACGUGCCAGCCGCCGCGGUAA
This 447-nucleotide ribosomal RNA is filed under the name uncultured bacterium. RNAcentral describes it as "partial 16S ribosomal RNA". It matches the Rfam family "Bacterial small subunit ribosomal RNA", at positions 29 to 523 of the family's 1533-position model. The record is from RNAcentral.